AAAUAGGACUUUUUAAAGUCCACAUGAGGUUUUAUGUACAGUAUGU
Lepisosteus oculatus (spotted gar) is the source of this 46-nucleotide non-coding RNA. Lineage: Eukaryota; Metazoa; Chordata; Actinopteri; Semionotiformes; Lepisosteidae. The record is from Rfam.